Molecule: ribosomal RNA, 468 nt
Filed under: uncultured bacterium
Lineage: Bacteria
Description: partial 16S ribosomal RNA
Rfam family: Bacterial small subunit ribosomal RNA
Source: RNAcentral
GACGAACGCUGGCGGCGUGCUUAACACAUGCAAGUCGAACGGAAAGGCCCUGCUUUUGUGGGGUGCUCGAGUGGCGAAAGGGUGAGUAACACGUGAGUAACCUGCCCUUGACUUUGGGAUAACUUCAGGAAACAGGGGCUAAUACCGGAUAGGAGCUCCUGCUGCAUGGUGGGGGUUGGAAAGUUUCGGCGGUUGGGGAUGGACUCGCGGCUUAUCAGCUUGUUGGUGGGGUAGUGGCUUACCAAGGCUUUGACGGGUAGCCGGCCUGAGAGGGUGACCGGCCACAUUGGGACUGAGAUACGGCCCAGACUCCUACGGGAGGCAGCAGUGGGGAAUAUUGCACAAUGGGCGGAAGCCUGAUGCAGCAACGCCGCGUGCGGGAUGACGGCCUUCGGGUUGUAAACCGCUUUCGCCUGUGACGAAGCGUGAGUGACGGUAAUGGGUAAAGAAGCACCGGCUAACUACGUG